Molecule: ribosomal RNA, 839 nt
Filed under: Thermococcus sp. Gorda2
Lineage: Archaea; Methanobacteriati; Methanobacteriota; Thermococci; Thermococcales; Thermococcaceae
Description: bacterial SSU rRNA
Rfam family: Archaeal small subunit ribosomal RNA
Source: RNAcentral
UAUGGGGGUCCGACUAAGCCAUGCGAGUCAUGGGGCGCCUUGCGCGCACCGGCGGACGGCUCAGUAACACGUCGGUAACCUACCCUCGGGAGGGGGAUAACCCCGGGAAACUGGGGCUAAUCCCCCAUAGGCCUGAGGUACUGGAAGGUCCUCAGGCCGAAAGGGGCUUCGGCCCGCCCGAGGAUGGGCCGGCGGCCGAUUAGGUAGUUGGUGGGGUAACGGCCCACCAAGCCGAAGAUCGGUACGGGCCAUGAGAGUGGGAGCCCGGAGAUGGACACUGAGACACGGGUCCAGGCCCUACGGGGCGCAGCAGGCGCGAAACCUCCGCAAUGCGGGAAACCGCGACGGGGGGACCCCCAGUGCCGUGGCAUCGCCACGGCUUUUCCGGAGUGUAAAAAGCUCCGGGAAUAAGGGCUGGGCAAGGCCGGUGGCAGCCGCCGCGGUAAUACCGGCGGCCCGAGUGGUGGCCGCUAUUAUUGGGCCUAAAGCGUCCGUAGCCGGGCCCGUAAGUCCCUGGCGAAAUCCCACGGCUCAACCGUGGGGCUUGCUGGGGAUACUGCGGGCCUUGGGACCGGGAGAGGCCGGGGGUACCCCUGGGGUAGGGGUGAAAUCCUAUAAUCCCAGGGGGACCGCCAGUGGCGAAGGCGCCCGGCUGGAACGGGUCCGACGGUGAGGGACGAAGGCCAGGGGAGCGAACCGGAUUAGAUACCCGGGUAGUCCUGGCUGUAAAGGAUGCGGGCUAGGUGUCGGGCGAGCUUCGAGCUCGCCCGGUGCCGAAGGGAAGCCGUUAAGCCCGCCGCCUGGGGAGUACGGCCGCAAGGCUGAAACUUAAAGGAAUU